RNAcentral lists this small RNA (173 nucleotides) under Drosophila erecta. RNAcentral describes it as "GG27272". Lineage: Eukaryota; Metazoa; Arthropoda; Insecta; Diptera; Drosophilidae. The record is from RNAcentral.
UCUUUACUUUUAAUACUUACAUUAUUCCAAUUCAUAAAUACAUGUAUUAUUUUUAUUUUCUGUUAUGGCCGUGAAACGAGCCUAUUGUUUACCGUCAUGCAUAAUCAAAACUGAAUAAAGCAAUGAAUAGGAUUGAACCACUAUCGAGUCAAGUAACGACAUUGUGGGAUUAU